Molecule: long non-coding RNA, 262 nt
Filed under: Phoenix dactylifera (date palm)
Lineage: Eukaryota; Viridiplantae; Streptophyta; Magnoliopsida; Arecales; Arecaceae
Description: long non-coding RNA (PDAC_LNC011763)
Source: RNAcentral
ACCUGCCAACCAUUGGAGUCGACUCGCGUUCCACAGGAGUCGACUCGAAUCUCAGGGUCGAAAAUCGCUUUCUGACUUUUCUGUCUGUUACACCCUGGAGUCGACUCGUUCUACUCUAGAGUCGACUCGAAGACUAUUCUUUUGAAUUUUCCUUUAAAUUUGCUCCUCCAAUUUGAAUCCUUUGAACUUGAAACUUGGGCCAAUAAAUUGCAGCUUUCUUCCAACUUUUCUUGAGAGCUUUGGAGGCCUUCUUGUGUUCUUC